GUUACGACACUAUAAGAAAAGGACACAAGGGUUUAGAAGCUGACAUAUUCUAAGUUAAAAUUCCAAAUAAUUGAGCCGAUGCUCAGGGUACAGUGGUUACACGGGGUACACAUGGGUACAGCAGGUUACAACACUAUAAGAAAUGGAUACAAGGGUUUAGAAGCUGAAAUUUUCUAAGUUAAAAUUCCAAAUAAUUGAGCCGAUGCUCAGGGUACAGUGGUUACAAAGGGUACACAUGGGUACAGCAGGUUACAACACUAUAAGAAAUGGAUACAAGGGUUUAGAAGCUGAAAUUUUCUAAGUUACAAUUCCAAAUAAUUGAGCCGAUGCUCAGGGUACAGUGAUUACACAGGGUACACUUGGGUACAGCAGGUUACAACACUAUAAGAAAAGGAUACAAGGGUUUAGAAGCUGAAAUAUUCCAAGUUAAAAUUCCAAAUAAUUGAGCCGAUGCUCAGGGUACAGUGGUUACAAAGGGUACACUUGGGUACAGCAGGUUACAACACUUUAAGAAAUGGAUACAAUGGAUUAGAAGACUGAAAUUUUCUAAGUUAAAAUUCCAAACAAUUGAGCUGAUGCUCAGGGUACAGUGGUUACACAGGGUACACAUGGGUACAGCAGGUUACAACACUAUAAGAAAUGGAUACAAGGGUUUAGAAGCUGAAAUUUUCUAAGUUAAAAU
This is a long non-coding RNA of Saccostrea echinata, 682 nucleotides long. RefSeq lists it as uncharacterized. The transcript is spliced from 3 exons. NCBI's taxonomy places the organism in Eukaryota, Metazoa, Mollusca, Bivalvia, Ostreida, Ostreidae. The record is from RefSeq and is a predicted model, not a curated record.